CCUACGGGUGGCAGCAGUGAGGAAUAUUGGUCAAUGGGCGCGAGCCUGAACCAGCCAAGUCGCGUGAAGGAUGACUGCCCUACGGGUUGUAAACUUCUUUUAUAAAGGACUAAAAUGAGGCACGUGUGCCUUUUUGUGUGUCCUUUAUGAAUAAGGAACGGCUAACUCCGUGCCAGCAACCGCGGUAAUACGGAGGAUCUGAGGGUUAUACGGGUUGAUUGGGUUUAAAGGGAGCGUAGAUGGGUUGUUAAGUCAGUUGUGAAAGUUUGCGGCUCAACCGUGACAUUGCAAUUGAUACUGGCAGCCUUGAGUACAGUUGAGGUAGGCGGAAUUCGUGGUGUAGCGGUGAAAUGCUUAGAUAUCACGAAGAACUCCGAUGGCGAAGGCAGCCUACUAAACUGCCACUGACAUUGAUGCUCGAAAGUGUGGGUAUCAAACAGGAUUAGAUACCCGGGUAGUC
Molecule: ribosomal RNA, 460 nt
Filed under: uncultured bacterium
Lineage: Bacteria
Description: partial 16S ribosomal RNA
Rfam family: Bacterial small subunit ribosomal RNA
Source: RNAcentral